RNAcentral lists this unclassified non-coding RNA (406 nucleotides) under Hevea brasiliensis (rubber tree). The record is from RNAcentral. Lineage: Eukaryota; Viridiplantae; Streptophyta; Magnoliopsida; Malpighiales; Euphorbiaceae.
AUCGACGGGCGUGGCAAGACACUUGCGCAGAAAAGAAUAAAAAGGAAAAAGAGAGAAAAAAAUUGGGAAAGAGGGAGAGAGAGAAAUCGAAGGUUCACUUCGCUACGUCAAUGGCGCGAGGAGCUGACAUGGGCGCGCAAGAGAAAUCGCAAGCGAACUCCAAUUCGAUGCAGAGGGUGAAGGUCUACCGUCUAAAUGAAGAUGGUAAAUGGGAUGACCAAGGGACUGGGCAUGUUACUGUUGACUAUUUGGAGAGAUCAGAAGAGCUGGGCUUGUUUGUUAUUGAUGAAGAAGACAAUGAAACAUUGCUUCUGCAUCGUAUCAUACCAGAUGNNNNNNNNNNNNUACAAUAAUCUCAUGGAGAGAUCCAGAAUAUUCUACAGAAUUAGCACUGAGCUUUCAGGAG